Molecule: ribosomal RNA, 139 nt
Filed under: uncultured eukaryote
Lineage: Eukaryota
Description: partial 18S ribosomal RNA
Rfam family: Eukaryotic small subunit ribosomal RNA
Source: RNAcentral
UGGUGGAGUGAUUUGUCUGGUUAAUUCCGUUAACGAACGAGACCUUGACCUGCUAAAUAGUUUCAUGUCGCCUUGGUCAGGUGGAAAACUUCUAGAGGAACUUUGUGUGUCUAAUGCAAGGAAGUUUGAGGCAAUAACA